Molecule: long non-coding RNA, 782 nt
Filed under: Physcomitrium patens
Lineage: Eukaryota; Viridiplantae; Streptophyta; Bryopsida; Funariales; Funariaceae
Description: long non-coding RNA (PPAT_LNC003479)
Source: RNAcentral
AGGAUUUGGUUAGGGUUUGAUUUAAGGUUUGGUUUAGGGUUUAGAAUUUGGAUUAGAGUUUAGAGUUGGAUUAGGGUUUGGAUUAGGGUUUAGGGUUUGGUUAGGGUUUGAUUUAAGAUUUGGAUUAGAGUUUGGUUAGGAUUUGAUUUAAGGUUUGGUUUAAGAUUUAGGGUUGGAUUAGGGUUUGGUUUAGGAUUUGAUUUAGGGUUGGUUUAGGGUUUAGGGUUUAGAAUACAAUUUAAUUUAAGAUUUUUUUAGGAUUUGACUUAGAGUUUAGGAAUUAUUAGGAUUUAAGAUUUAAUUAGGUUUGGUCUAAAGUUGAGUGAAAUUCAAUAGGAUUUUAACUAGAAUUAAAUUAUGCUUGAAUUGACAUAUAUUUGAGUAAAAUUUGUGAUCAUUCUAAUAUUUCUUUAAGAAUUUUAUUGUUUGUUUGAAAUUUCUUUGAGUUGUUUUGAAUUUGAUUAUAUUUAUUUAUCAUUAUUAUAAUCUAAUUAGAGCAUUAUUAGUAUUCUAUUUAGGAUUUUGUUAUCGCAAUUUCUAUUCUUCCUUCUACAGCCAGGUGCCCGGAGCAUUCUCAAGCAAGACUUCACACAUUACGACAUUGCAUGCUGAUGCUAAAGAGAGGAAGGACUUCACAAGAUGUGAAAAGAAGGCUUUUGGCAUGAUUGCUACUAAUUUAGAUGAAGCCAACUUUUCUCACAUCAUCUCCUAUAAAGGACUAGUAGAAGCAUGGAAGACUCUUUGCAAUAUAUAUGACAGUAAGAACUUUUCCAAUAUCAUCU